RNAcentral lists this ribosomal RNA (402 nucleotides) under uncultured Methanosaeta sp. Its description in RNAcentral is "bacterial SSU rRNA". It matches the Rfam family "Archaeal small subunit ribosomal RNA", at positions 938 to 1338 of the family's 1478-position model. Lineage: Archaea; Methanobacteriati; Methanobacteriota; Methanomicrobia; Methanotrichales; Methanotrichaceae. The record is from RNAcentral.
GACAGCAAUAUGAAGGUCAGGCUGAAGACCUUACCCGAUUAGCUGAGAGGUGGUGCAUGGCCGUCGUCAGUUCGUACUGUGAAGCAUCCUGUUAAGUCAGGCAACGAGCGAGACCCACGUCCACAGUUGCCAGCAUACCCUCCCGGGGUGAUGGGUACACUGUGGAGACCGCCGCUGCUAAAGCGGAGGAAGGAGUGGGCAACGGUAGGUCAGUAUGCCCCGAAUCUCCCGGGCUACACGCGGGCUACAAUGGUUGGUACAAUGGGCAUCUACCCCGAAAGGGGAAGGAAAUCUCUUAAAGCCAAUCGUAGUUCGGAUUGAGGGCUGCAACUCGCCCUCAUGAAGCUGGAAUCCGUAGUAAUCGCGUUUCAACAGAACGCGGUGAAUACGUCUCUGCUCCUU